UACAGAGGUGGCAAGCGUUAUUCGGAAUUACUGGGCGUAAAGGGCGCGUAGGCGGCCUUCUAAGUCGGACGUGAAAGCCCCAGGCUUAACCUGGGAACCGCGUCCGAUACUGGGAGGCUUGGAUUCGGGAGAGGGAUGUGGAAUUCCAGGUGUAGCGGUGAAAUGCGUAGAUAUCUGGAGGAACACCGGUGGCGAAGGCGGCAUCCUGGACCGAGAUCGACGCUGAGGCGCGAAAGCUAGGGGAGCAAACAGG
This 253-nucleotide ribosomal RNA is filed under the name uncultured bacterium. RNAcentral describes it as "partial 16S ribosomal RNA". It matches the Rfam family "Bacterial small subunit ribosomal RNA", at positions 524 to 776 of the family's 1533-position model. The record is from RNAcentral.